AUGUCCCCUUGUUCCUUCGUCGAGCCCGCGUCCCUUCUGACUUUCUUCGCUCGUCGGGGACGCGACGCACACUGCAUCUUCGCCAUCCUUCUCACGUCGGGGACACACACGGCGUCGUCACCAUCCUCCUCGCGUCGGGGAAGGUGCCGCCGCCGCCGCUCCUCCGCGCGACCUGAGAUGCUGAGGCUGCCGUUCUCCUCCGCACAGCCAGGGACGACGCAAGCACCGACGCCCCCAUCCCCAGCUGCAUCAGUUCAGAGGUACGCCCCUUUCCUCGCUCGUCCUUGCUUGUUCCUUGCCGACGGCGCCCACCGGCGCACAGCAACCGAUUGGUCGCAACCCACAGAUCCACGCAGCUGCCAGCCAGUGACUCAGCCCAGGAGGAAAGCAGCAACUCCUCUCGGCCUCUCCAAAAUCCCGAGUCCCUGCCAGUAUUUGAUUUGCCAGUUGCUGCGAGUGUUCAUAUGUCUUGAUAAAAUUGCCCUUUUUCAUGGAGAAUAUUUGCAACUGAUUGAAAUAGAUGCAGGAUUCUUCUACUCAAACAUUAAGCGAGAAAAGAUGGUUUCUGCCGAAGGACGCCAAGUUGACGAACAUGUCAAGAAGAUCAUUGAAUUGAAAUAUAAGGUUCUGCAAAUUUCAUUCACAGAUCAGGAAAUUCUAAUCUGUGACUUGGUAAAUCUUAGUAUAUGCAAGCUGAUGGUUGUUCACAAUGAACAACCACAUCUCAAAGAUCACGAAGAUAAAUUGAUAAUGCAUGGCUCACAUGUUGAUUGCAAGGUUACCAACGCAUGCAUAUAUGUUGUUGUAGACCAUUGCAACGCCACCAACGGCAACGCAUACUGA
Molecule: ribosomal RNA, 843 nt
Filed under: Triticum aestivum (bread wheat)
Lineage: Eukaryota; Viridiplantae; Streptophyta; Magnoliopsida; Poales; Poaceae
Description: partial small subunit ribosomal RNA
Source: RNAcentral